AGUGAACGCUGGCGGCAUGCCUAACACAUGCAAGUCGAACGACAGCACAGUACGUGCUUGCUCUUACGUGUGUCGCGUGGCGGACUGUUCCCUAUUGCAUCGGAUUCUACUUUUACAUGGCUGCUAACGUCGGAUAACUUCCAAUAUCACCACAUAUAUCGUACGGGUGUGAGCCCGCGUUCUUCGGGCCUUUUGUUAUUGUAUUAGCCUAGCUCGCCUUAGCUAGUUGGCUGGUUAAAGGGCCAACUAGGCGACGCUCCGAAUCUGGUCUGAGAGGAUGAUCCGACACACUGGAACUGAGACACGGUACAGACACCUACGGGAGGCAGCAGUCGGGAAUAUUAGGCAAUGGGCGAAAGGCUGAUACAGCAAAACCGCGUGAGUGAUGAAGGACUUCGGGUUGUAAAGCGCUGUUGUUGGGAAAGAAAAAAAGCAGGUUAAUACGGGAAUGUAAUGACGGUACCGAAAGAAUAAGCACCGGCUAACUUCGUG
RNAcentral lists this ribosomal RNA (492 nucleotides) under uncultured bacterium. Its description in RNAcentral is "partial 16S ribosomal RNA". It matches the Rfam family "Bacterial small subunit ribosomal RNA", at positions 29 to 507 of the family's 1533-position model. The record is from RNAcentral.